GGCUAAUAUAGGUAAUCCAAGCGUAACUCUUGGGCUGUGCCGCAACUGUUAAAGUCAGAAAACUAUAUUUGCC
This 73-nucleotide non-coding RNA is filed under the name Candidatus Microgenomatota. The record is from RNAcentral.